AGUGAACGCUGGCGGUAGGCCUAACACAUGCAAGUCGAACGGCAGCACAGUAAGAGCUUGCUCUUACGGGUGGCGAGUGGCGGACGGGUGAGGAAUGCAUCGGAAUCUACUUUUUCGUGGGGGAUAACGUAGGGAAACUUACGCUAAUACCGCAUACGACCUACGGGUGAAAGCAGGGGAUCUUCGGACCUUGCGCGAUUGAAUGAGCCGAUGUCGGAUUAGCUAGUUGGCGGGGUAAAGGCCCACCAAGGCGACGAUCCGUAGCUGGUCUGAGAGGAUGAUCAGCUACACUGGAACUGAGACACGGUCCAGACUCCUACGGGAGGCAGCAGUGGGGAAUAUUGGACAAUGGGCGCAAGCCUGAUCCAGCCAUACCGCGUGGGUGAAGAAGGCCUUCGGGUUGUAAAGCCCUUUUGUUGGGAAAGAAAAGCAGCAGGUUAAUACCCCGCUGUUCUGACGGUACCCAAAGAAUAAGCACCGGCUAACUUCGUG
RNAcentral lists this ribosomal RNA (492 nucleotides) under uncultured bacterium. RNAcentral describes it as "partial 16S ribosomal RNA". It matches the Rfam family "Bacterial small subunit ribosomal RNA", at positions 29 to 507 of the family's 1533-position model. The record is from RNAcentral.